RNAcentral lists this transfer RNA (69 nucleotides) under Ictidomys tridecemlineatus (thirteen-lined ground squirrel). RNAcentral describes it as "Spermophilus tridecemlineatus (thirteen-lined ground squirrel) tRNA". It matches the Rfam family "tRNA". From Rfam's summary of the family: Transfer RNA (tRNA) molecules are approximately 80 nucleotides in length. Their secondary structure includes four short double-helical elements and three loops (D, anti-codon, and T loops). Lineage: Eukaryota; Metazoa; Chordata; Mammalia; Rodentia; Sciuridae. The record is from Rfam by way of RNAcentral.
GGGGUUGUGGCUCAGUUGUAGAGUGCUUGCCUGGCAUGUGUGAGGCCCUGGGUUCGAUUCUCAGCACCA